AGCCAGUUUCAGGAAAUUUAUGGAGGAUUUGGGGAUCGCAAAAGUCAUGGGACCUGAUUCAAUUAAAACGGAAAAGCACCAACACAGUUUUAAAAUAAGCUUAAAAUAUGGCUGAAGGAUAUUUUGGCUUCUCUGAUUCUAUUCCUGAGCUUCUAUUCUGUGUAGUGUGACGGUGGCUGUCCUGCCUCCUCUCCAGCCCUUAACACAGAUAGCAGGAGACAGCGGAAGACACUCGGGAGUCUGUCAGAGCCCACCAAAGGCUCUGACACAGGGGUAGGACCAGGAGUUCUCGGGCACGGGUGUAAAAGCGCAGAGCUUGCCAUGCGAUCCAUGCAGGGCUCUGUGGUUUCACAGCACCCCCAGGGUACCAGACCCGGAGUAGCCUGACUUUCAGAAGGCAGCCUGGGUCCCUCCAGGCUCGCAGGCUGCUCGCUCCAGCUCUCUGGUGCUGACUAUGCCUAGAACGAGCAGAAACCCCUGCCGUGUUUUCUCCUGGAAGGAGGACGAGACUGUGCCAGUUCUAAUCCAUGGGUGCGGUGCCCAGAGAAGCACAUGCUGGAACGCAGGACGGAAGCUGGGAGGUGAAGGCCCCAACUGCAUCGGCACAGGACCAGGGUCUUCACUCCUUGUGAAUAUCACACUGAUGCUUGGGUGGGCUGAAGGAGUCAUUCUUAAGUCAGUAGGGUCCCAUCAAGUCAGGUCUAGCUCAUUGCUAGGGUGGGACACACUACAGUAGCUGGCUCCUAGGCGAGGGCUCUUGGGAAGAGCAGGUGGCCAUCUUAGCACACAAGGGGUACAUGACCGAGAUGUCAGAGCUCAUUGCUUCCCUUGUGCCUUGGCUGACUAAUCAUUAACUUUCCUGUUUCCUUUCCCACUGAGAUUUCUGCAUCUUGGCAUCUAUCAAAAUGGUGCUGGGAUGAAUCUUGCUCAUUCACAAAAGACUACAGGCCCCAGUUCAGUAAGUAUGUGGAAGUCCGUGCAAUCACUUUUCUUCUCCCCUUCUUUCUAAAUACACUAAAGACCCCUAGCAGAUAUUUAAGAAACCUUACACGGGCUAUGAAAACUGAGUUUUAGUAGCAUGACAAUAAAUAUCAUUUGAUAAAGUUGUUUUCUGAAUCAAUCACAACAGGGUAACCCAAAUAGCUAAAAUCGGGGAAGAGAGAGGCUAAAAUCCCCCAAUCAAGAGAAGCUCUCGGGUGUUGCUAGGAAUUCCUGCUCUUAAGCAAAAAUUGCAGCAGGAAUGCUUGUACCCUUUGUGAAGUGGGAAAUAAAGGGCUUCAGCUCUCUGGAUCUACAGGGGCUCUGUGACUGCAUUGAUUCCUCCCGGAAAGAGGAGGAGGCAAGGGCUGUCUGCCCACUGCACACGAGGCUUAGUCUCCAUGGUGUUUCCUACUUUCCCAGGCCCACCACAGCAACAGGAGUGGUUCACUGCCAGCCAACAAGGGGGCUGUCCUUGGUGGGAACUCUGCCUGAGUAGCAGGGAGGACUGGAACUACAUUGCUGGUGGUCGUACCCAGAUAACCACCAAGUCAUUUAGUGGGAUCUGAGUCAUAUGCCCAGGGAGAGUGGCAGACUGGUUUGGAUUAUGGCUUGGACACCAGGAUCCUUUGGAACUCUGGAUUAGUUCCAUUGCACAGCUAAAGUCUGGAGCUGUCACUCCACACCUGUCAUCUGCAGCCUGCAGAAGGAGAAGAUUCACCAGGAUAUAUUCAGAUGAGCGAGGUAACUGACUACCAUAUACUCAUAUAACCAGGAUACUGCAAAGAUGCCCAGGGCAGGCCCAGGGCCAGCCCAGCCAUAUCGCCGCUCACACAGCUGCCACCAUCUGCUGCAGGGAACAAGAGUUCCUAACUCCUGUAAGUAAAGUACAUCCUAGGCUGGCCUGUGCUAAGGCAUUCUGGGAGAACAUACACUGCCCCCUUGGGAUCGGGGGAUGCCCAGGGGUGGGUGCCAGGAAGUAGGGCAGGAGCACAAGUGUCCUGAACAUCGAAUGGUCUGAAACAAGGAGUGGCUGUGCACACACCGCUCUCCCAGGGAGAUCCGUACCAUAAACCCGACCAUAAAACUAGCUUCCUUGGCUCAUUCUGCACCAGCUCCCAGUUUUAUUGCUCACACAGCACUCAUACCCUGAGAAGGACAGCACAUUUGCAUAGAACUCUGCUUCACAUUGGUCUCUUCAAGGAAGCACUGCAGAGUGCAAUAAACGUCAUAUGCCUUCCUGGAGCACUUGCCUGCAGACAAGAAGGACUCCCUGCGAAAGGGGUUCUUAUAUAACAUAGACCAUGGCUGCCAGGGAAGAUGUGGCUGAAGAGCGAAUUCCUAAGCUACCUAAAGGCAUCUACAAAGGCCUGGGAUCUCCGUACUUCCUGCAGUGACUAACCUCUGCUGAGCUUUAAGUGACCAAACACACGUGGCACUGGAGGUGGGCCUUGGACCUGCUCCCUGCUCUGCACCUUUAAAUGAUGAAGAAGGGUAAAGCAUGGCAGAUCGCAGUGCUGUAGGGGUCAUCCAUCCACUUAGGGAAAGCCAUCAGAGAAGUCAAGAAAUAACUUCUCCAGAUAAACCCCUGCCUGGGGCCAAGAACAAAGAAAAGGAUGGAGACAAAGUAUCUGUCUCUCUUAGGUGUUGUGUGAGGAGAGCAGGCCCACUGUUGGAGCCACUGUCCAAGAACUUGUCCUAGAUUGCAGAAAGCAUCACAUGAGCUAAACCAUUACCAAGAAAAGAUAGGUCAAGGGGCCGUGGAAAGAGCAGGUUAGAUAUACACCUCCCGCCACCCGUCUCUCUCUCUCUCUCUCUCUCUCUCUCUCUCUCUCUCUCUCUCUGGUAUGGGGACAGGCCUUCCUUGUGAGAGACAGCUGCAGAUACGGCCUGUAUAUAACCACUAUCUUAGAGCUGUGCCUUUCAGGGCUGAAGCAGCUUCUCAUGAAAACAAUUUCAAAGCAACCUGGAAGUAAAAUGUCUCCAGAGGAGAUGACCAGACAUCACUGCCUACAUGGCAAGAGUUAAGACAAAAUGUCAUGGCAGCACCCUCUGUAUGGUAUGGGGGGCCUAGGACAAAUGUGUCUAGGACAGGCAUUACGCAUCUGUAAUCACAGAGUCUCAGCAGUAAACACUUGUCUGGGAGAAUGCCUUUGCUCUCUUCAUGUCCCAGCUCUUGUGUACAUUAAGCAGAAUAAUUUAUUUUAGCCAGGAUAACCAUCCUCCUCUUGUAUUGUGUCCUCUGAAGGCAGCUCGUUGUAGAGCAUCAGUCCUCCACUUCACCGAGCAAGGAGCUUCGACCAGGGCCCUGCCCCCACAAGUACGGACUGUCUCCAGGACCACACAGACACAGCUAUGUGACUGCCAGUCGGAGACAAGAAAAAAAAUAAAAGACACCUUGGAGAAACAUCAGCUACCCAUACUGACGACAUCUGCGUUGCCGUGACCAGGUCUCUGACAGCAACAACUUAGCAGGAGGAAUUAUUUCUUGUGGUUCACUGUUUUAGAGGUUCCAGUCCCCCGGUGCGGAGGGUGGCUCACAGGAAAGCAGAGCUCAUCUCAGGAAAGGGGAGAAGCCACCUCCAGCAAGUGGCUGGAGUCCUCCUGGCCUUCCCCUUGGACCUGCGCCACGGUCUGGGUACUCCCUCAGAUUUGGCUAAUCCUCUCUAGAGUACCCUCAUACCCAUGUUCUCACUUCACCAAUCCCCUUCAAUCUAACUCCCAUCAGCCUGACCAUCAAAUGUAGCCAUCACCGCACCUAACCAAGGGGAACAUGGGAACAUGUAUGGGGCAUCAUCUUGGCUCUGGUCUUGUCUCUUAUCACCUUUGUUCUGAUUCUGUAAUCCCAUGCUAUCUGGCAAAAUUAAGAAAGCUAGGUAGCUUGCCUAGAGUCACUUCCCUGGUCUGGGUUGAAAUCUUGGUAAUUAACAGGUGCCCCGACAAGCAGCAAGUCUUCCUCAGGCCUCCGUCCGCACCAGCUCGAGUGCACCGCACCUCACGCAAAUGCUAUUCCAACUGAACACCUUCCAUCUACCCAUCAGCUCUAAGAGACAGGUACCCCCAUGAACCCGGCACAUGGCUUGGAGUCCAUUCCCAUCAGUAAGAGCCAGGUUCUCAGCCUGCAGAACCUUGGGCCUUGACUUUAGCUUCUAAUCACUUCUCUGUCUUUUCCUGAGAUGUGCCAUACCAUCUAGUUUUAAACCGUACUGAUUAACAGGCAGAAAAUUGUCAAAAUAGCUUGGGUUUUUAGGAUGAAUACUUUAAAUACUAUAAAUCCACUCCUUGUGGGGAGUGAUCGUUUGGUGCGGCUUCUGCUGAUUGCUCGGUAUCUCUCCAAGACUGCGAUGUGCACAGACUAUUUUGGUCUCGGUUAAUAUAUAGCACUGCAUAAACACUGAGUCAACAGGAGGGGCUGAACAAUAAAUUAUCACUAGUCCAAGUGCUAAAAUAGCACCCGCUUUCUCUCUGCCUGAGCGUGCUAUCUAUUUAUGGUUCGCUUACUUCUGCGGAGUUCUAAGCCUUUAUAUACAUUUCAUCAUAGUUAUACUUAUGCACAUAUAUCAUCUUUAUUAUACACACACGUGUCUAAUGCACCCCUCCCUGCCUACCGUUUACUACGGGACUCUCGGUUUCCAGCUAACUUUUGAAUCCAUGACACUGUCUGCCUUUAGCUUAUGAUCAGUGGAAGAGUGGAUGUAGGCUGACAAUAAAAAGAGAUUUAGUUCACUGGUUAUGUUUUAGCAAAUCCAUUCAGUGCAUGAAGCGAUUACUUCCAGUAUCGAAUACUAAGCAUGUUGUUCUAUGUGCAUAUGCAUUGUAUACAUGUGUGUACAUGUAUGUGUGUGGGCAUGCUUGUGUGUGUGUGUGUGUGUGUGUGUGUGUGUGUGUGUGUGUGUGUGUGUGUAUGGAGACUGAGGGUCUAAGUCUGUUUCUUCCUCUAACUCCCUCCAUAUUGUCUUGUGAGAUAGCAUAUCUCAUUGAACUGGAAGUGAGGCACCAGACUGGAGGGCCAGAAAGCCUCCAGGAUCCAUCUGUCUCUGCCCCCUCCCCAACACUAGCUUUACAAACAAACAUUGCUACACCCCACUUUUACCUAAGUGCUGGGAACCAAAGCUCAGAUCUUCACACUCAUGUUGCAAACGUUCUCCUUACCCACUUAGCUAUCUCUUCAGUCUUCACACAUUAUUGUGGGCCUGUGGCUUCACUUUCCAAAGUGUGAACCAUUGCUCUUCUUUUGUCCUUCUGUUUCCUCCCCUCCCCUCCUCUACCUCCCCUCCCUUCUCUUUCCUUUCCUCUUCUCUCUUUUCUCUCUUUUCUUUCUUUUCUUUUCUUUUCAUAGAGGUCUGUACUCUGGGACACGUGACUCUCCAAAUUCCACCUUCACCAUUUCAGUUUCAAGGGCAAAAAACACAUCUAGAGAAAGAUUUUUCCUAAGAAAGCUUUCCUUGUGUAGCUAGAGAAUACUCUAAACUGUGUCCAUACAGUGGAAAACGAGGUUUAUACUGUCAAGAGCUAACAGAGCCAAGAUUCAGUAGAACACCUCAUAUGAAGAGGACUAAAGGCAGAUCUGUCAUUUGGGGUUUCGGUUGGUGACGAAUCACAACGGCCCAACUGUUAGCAGGGGAACUCGGCCUUCUUUCUUCUUCUCCUAUGAAUAUUGCUUUUCAUUACUGAAAACAGAAACUGGAGCCCUAUGCAUUUCCCUAUUUUGCAAAAUGGGUAUUAUACCAACAAUCUGUUUCAAAAAUAGCACUGAGCGUUUUAUUUCACUUGAGUCUCCAAAGAGUUCCUAGGCGUGUCCUUAACUAGUGUUAAUUUAGGAAAAAAGGACAGGUAUGGCCACAUAAGAGAGAUAAAAGGUUCACAGACAGCCACGGUAUCAUUGACGGCAUCGGGGAAAUACUUUGGAGUAAAUCUAUUCAUUCUAUAAAUGUUUUUCCAGUAUACCUAUUAGGACAAACCAAGAACUAAGCUCUCUGUGGUCAAUAUCCCCACAGAAGACAAAGCCCAAUCCAGAGGCCUGCCACUCUGCAGAAGUGCCUUGCUCUCUGUACUCCUGCCCCAUACACAUUGUCACCAUUCUAGGGACCCGGGCACCUUUGCCACCUCUGCUCCAAGAUGCAAAUUAGUUCUUUUCUCCAAAAAGCCAUUGCUAAACCCGGGUUGGACACCUACUUUAUGCCUGUGUGUCUGUUUGUCCAUCCUGCUUAUCCCAUUCACUAAAACCAAGCAAACUUCAACAGAGUCCUGUCUCAGUAACCAGCAGAAGGAGGGAUACCGGCCGAGAUGGAAGGAUGCAGGGCACGCAAUGUCAUCCUAGGAUCACUUCAGUAACUGCUACCCCACCACCCUGGGUUUGCACAGCCUGUGCAACAGUAGAAAUCUCUUAAAUCAAAACCAGGCCCUGUCUAGCAUUAGCUCAACUAAUAAAAAUUACAUCACUUGAAUGAUUCUAAAA
Molecule: non-coding RNA, 6436 nt
Organism: Rattus norvegicus (Norway rat)
Lineage: Eukaryota; Metazoa; Chordata; Mammalia; Rodentia; Muridae
Source: RefSeq, a predicted model, not a curated record